RNAcentral lists this long non-coding RNA (491 nucleotides) under Mytilus galloprovincialis (Mediterranean mussel). The record is from RNAcentral. Lineage: Eukaryota; Metazoa; Mollusca; Bivalvia; Mytilida; Mytilidae.
GCCAGGCAGACAUGUACAGCUAACACAUUUUAUCAUACAACAACAAUAGCUUACCUAUGGCUUAUAGUUUAAGAAAAACAGACCAAACACACAAAACUUAACACAGAGCAAUGAACCGUUGAAAAUGAGUCAAGGUCAAAUAAAACCUGCGCGACUGACAUAUAGAUCAUAAACAUUUCCAUACACCAAAUAUAGUUGACCUAUUGUAUAUAGUAUUAGAAAAAAAGACCAAACACAAAACUUAAAUUUGACACAUGAACCAUGAAAAUGAGGUCAAGGUCAGAAGACACCUGCCACUUGGACUGUAUACCUUACAGUCCUUCCAGACACCGAAUAUACUAGACCUAUUGCAUACAGUAUAAGAAAAACAGACCAAAACACAAAAACUUAACUAUCACCACUGAACCAUGAAAAUGAGGUCAAGGUCAGAUGACACCUGCCAGUUGGUCAUGUACACCUUACUGUCCUUCCAUUACACCGAAGAUACUAGA